AGCUACAGGCUUAACACAUGCAAGUCGAGGGGAAACGACAUCGAAAGCUUGCUUUUGAUGGGCGUCGACCGGCGCACGGGUGAGUAACGCGUAUCCAACCUGCCCAUCACUUGGGGAUAACCUUGCGAAAGUAAGACUAAUACCCAAUGAUAUCUCUAGAAGACAUCUGAAAGAGAUUAAAGAUUUAUCGGUGAUGGAUGGGGAUGCGUCUGAUUAGCUUGUUGGCGGGGUAACGGCUCACCAAGGCGACGAUCAGUAGGGGUUCUGAGAGGAAGGUCCCCCACAUUGGAACUGAGACACGGUCCAAACUCCUACGGGAGGCAGCAGUGAGGAAUAUUGGUCAAUGGACGAGAGUCUGAACCAGCCAAGUAGCGUGCAGGAUGACGGCCCUAUGGGUUGUAAACUGCUUUUAUAAGGGAAUAAAGUGAGUCUCGUGAGACUUUUUGCAUGUACCUUAUGAAUAAGGACCGGCUAAUUCCGUGCCAGCAGCCGCGGUAAUACGGAAGGUCCGGGCGUUAUCCGGAUUUAUUGGGUUUAAAGGGAGCGUAGGCCGGAGAUUAAGCGUGUUGUGAAAUGUAGACGCUCAACGUCCGCACUGCAGCGCGAACUGUUUUCCUUGAGUACGCACAAAGUGGGCGGAAUUCGUGGUGUAGCGGUGAAAUGCUUAGAUAUCACGAAGAACUCCGAUUGCGAAGGCAGCUCACUGGAGCGCAACUGACGCUGAAGCUCGAAAGUGCGGGUAUCGAACAGGAUUAGAUACCCUGGUAGUCCGCACGGUAAACGAUGGAUGCCCGCUGUUGGUCUGAAUAGGUCAGCGGCCAAGCGAAAGCAUUAAGCAUCCCACCUGGGGAGUACGCCGGCAACGGUGAAACUCAAAUG
RNAcentral lists this ribosomal RNA (879 nucleotides) under uncultured bacterium. RNAcentral describes it as "bacterial SSU rRNA". It matches the Rfam family "Bacterial small subunit ribosomal RNA", at positions 38 to 907 of the family's 1533-position model. The record is from RNAcentral.